GGCCCCGUAGCUCAGCAUGGACAGAGCGGCGGCCUGCGGAGCCGUAGGUCGUGGGUUCAAAUCCCACCGGGGCCGCCA
Molecule: transfer RNA, 78 nt
Filed under: Vulcanisaeta sp. JCHS_4
Lineage: Archaea; Thermoproteati; Thermoproteota; Thermoprotei; Thermoproteales; Thermoproteaceae
Also listed under: 1 other name
Description: tRNA-Arg
Rfam family: tRNA
About the family: Transfer RNA (tRNA) molecules are approximately 80 nucleotides in length.
Source: RNAcentral